CCAUCCUCCUAAGCGUGCUUAGGAUUUCUCAUUUCUUCCGCUCCAUUCUACAUCACAGCCGCCCUGUUCUUAUCUGUCUUCUUCGAUCUUCAUCUCGACGGAUCGAAGAUUGAAGAUCCAGCUUUUUUUCCAUUAAUCACCGGUUCCAUUUGAAUCCUAAAACUUAUGUUUUUUUUGGGAUACGGCAUACGGCGGCGAUAGAUGUGGAGUUCUUUAUUCGAUCUCAACAUUUAUGUUCAAUCUUUCUACGGGCUUGGGUGCUUUCGGUCCAGAAUUUAGGGAUAACUGAAUAAGGAUCAAGUUUAUUGAAACUUUAUACGUGAAUUGUUGUUGGUUGGUAUGAUUAAGUUAUAUGAAUUGAAAUUCGCUCUCGAAUCAUUCUGGGAUGGCAAGAGCAGUGCCGAGGAUCUGCAGACUGUUGCUGCUGAUCUCAGAUCAUCCAUCUGGAAACUAAAGCUCUUGGAGUUGAUAUUGUCCCAGUCAAAUUAAAAAUGGCUUUCUUAUAACAUGGGGUUGAAGCUGGAAAAGAAUUAUCAAAAGGUUUGGUGGAAGGCAUUGAGCAGAAACCAAAAAAAGGUUGCAAAGAGCAAAGAUGAAGGUUCCAAGAACAAGAGAAAAGAAAAGGAAAUUGAUGUUAGUAAGGUCACAUCUUUUUUUAAGGAAAAUAAAGAACAGGAUAGUGAUGCAAAGGUCCAGUACGUGAUCUUUGGGACUUCGUUGUGACUUUGAUGACUGGAAAGAUUGUUGGGGUUCUGAUUAGAAUCUGAUGUGGAUCUAGAAAACGGUGUUGCUGAUGACACAGGGGCUGUUAUACAUGCACAUAAAGCUGGCUAAUACAACUGCAAAUGGCUGCGAAAAACAGUCAUACAGGGCUGGGAAUUAUACCCGUAUAGGGUUGGAAUACUUUUGUUCUAUGGGGGUUGUUAUACAGCCAUGUAAGGCUGUGAAAUACGCUCUUAUGGGGCUAGAAAUAUGCUUGUACAAGGUUUAAUGAAGAUUAACAAGCAUUUUAAAGGAAACUCUUGCUUCUGUUAAUCCUAUACUAUAUGAUUUUGGAGUUGAUUUGGACGUAUUCAUGGUUAAAUCUGAUGAGGUGCAAGAUCGAUGGACGGCAACUUUAAAAGAAAACGUCACCAAAUGGGU
Molecule: long non-coding RNA, 1143 nt
Filed under: Helianthus annuus (common sunflower)
Lineage: Eukaryota; Viridiplantae; Streptophyta; Magnoliopsida; Asterales; Asteraceae
Source: RNAcentral